Molecule: non-coding RNA, 366 nt
Organism: Mus caroli (Ryukyu mouse)
Lineage: Eukaryota; Metazoa; Chordata; Mammalia; Rodentia; Muridae
Source: the annotation of a RefSeq genome assembly
AUGGACUUCAGGCUCAGCUUGGUUUUCCUUGUCCUUACUUUAAAAAGUGUCCAGUGUGAGGUGCAGCUGGUGGAGUCUGGGGGAGGCUUAGUGCAGCCUGGAGGGUCCCUGAAACUCUCCUGUGCAGCCUCUGGAUUUACAUUCAGUAGCCAUUUCAUGGCAUGGGUCCGCCAAACUCCAGAUAAAAGACUAGAGUGGGCCGCAAACAUUUAUCCUGAUGGUGGUACCGCCUACUAUCCAAACACUGUGAAGGGCCGAUUCACCAUCUCCAGAGACAAUGCCAGGAACACCAUGUACCUGCAAAUGAACAAUCUGAGGUCUGAAGACACAGCCUUGUAUUACUGUGUAAGACAAGACACACAAUGA